Molecule: long non-coding RNA, 2611 nt
Organism: Poecilia latipinna (sailfin molly)
Lineage: Eukaryota; Metazoa; Chordata; Actinopteri; Cyprinodontiformes; Poeciliidae
Exons: 2
Source: RefSeq, a predicted model, not a curated record
AUUCAAAUAAAAUUUUAAUCAAAAUAUAUUUAGGCUACGUUAAGACUUAAUACGUUUAAACAAAAUCUGAUUAAAAGGCAAUAUUUCUUGCCCAUCAUCUCAGGAAGUGAAAUACUCAUUUCAUAAAGACACAUAACACAAAGAGUGAAAUAUUUCAAGCUUUUAUUUUUUUUGCGAGUUUAAUGAGUUUGGAUUAUGGAUACAAACGACACAGUUGACCAACACGCUAUUGCACAGCAGUCCAUUAACAUUUACAGGAAUGAAAGGAUUGGAAUAUAUCAUUACCUGUUGGUGUUUCUAGAUAAUGAAUUUCACUUCGAGAUCACUAGCAAGAAAUAUUCCACUUUUAUGUAAUGUUCCAAUUUUCAAGAUGUACCUGUAAUCUUAACAUUUUGUACACAUGCCAUAUUCAAAUUCUUCUGAAAAUAAAAGUUUUCUUUUCUUUCCACCAAGAACGCUCAGUGAAAAGCUGAAAAUCUAACACAAUCAUCAAAGAUAAAUAAUAAUCACUGCAAUAAAACAUUUUUUAAGUCAGAGAGGUUCAAAAAAUUCAAGCUGUUCACUAAUAAUAGUAGAUGCCAGUUCAUCAUGGUUUAUUGGGACAGCUUAGUUUUUACAGUAAUGACAGGGUGUUUUGAUGUAAGUGGUCAUUGAAUUUCAUGACUUUCUGUUCAUGGUUUUGGGGGGCUGCUUCCUAUUAUCAGUGGUCAGUGGGCAGGAAUCGGAUUGAACUCUGCGCUGAUCCCACAAUCCAUCAAGGCUGACAAGAGAGACUUUAGACAUGUAACGUUCACAAAAACGACCACAUCAGAGCUUCACCAGUCUCCAAUUACCAAAGCAUCUUUGAUUUUUGGACUGUGUAUUGAAACCUGGAUAAAAGUGUAGACAGAGGAAAAGCCUGCAAACUAAACACAGAAAGUUUUAGUUUGCAUGUUAGUUUAUUCCACCGCAGGCAAGAUCUGAGCUACGACACAAUUAAUUUAAAUUUUGGUCAGCAGUAGAAAAAGUGUUGGCUUCCUAUGUGUGCCUAAAAAUUAAGGUCCUAAGAGGAUAUUACUUUGACCAAAGCUUUUAGACUACAUAUGUUAUUUAUAUUUUUCCUCUGAAAUCCAUUUCCUUAUUUUACGGCUUGUUCAAAACAAGAUAAUGUAUUUCAGCACAAAGAAAGCAUGGACUCUUGUUUGUUUACUUGUACUCUGUCUAACCUCUUUUUCCAUUACAUGAAUGCUGUCAUGCUUUUUCAGUGUCCCUUCCAUCUUUCAGUACACAUCCCAUUUUCCCUCCAUACUCUUUUAUCAUUUACUUGGGCCUGAACAUGGCUUUCAACUCACUGAAGGUGAAUCAAAUUUAGAAAACGACCCUCUCUCCCGUCCCUAUCCUUUAGUUCUCCCAAAGUAGAAGUUCACAGCUUUGCCAGUUGGCAGUCGUGCAGCUAAACUGACUACAUAGAAUUUAUUAGAGUUGAUUGGAGCAUCUGCAGGCUUUUUCCGUCUCUGGAGAUGAGUUGAGUGGAGUGGCAAUUCAGAUCGGGAGGUCAUGGACUGGUGGUGGUGGGGGGCUACACAGCAGAGCAGAAGGCAGAUUAUUAGGGUGCAUUUGAAUAGCACUGGAAUACGGGGCAGAGCUUGUAGGAAUUUUCAAUUUCAGCUGUCAUUCCCAUGAAACCGAAGGUUAGCUGCAGAAAUGAGGGUUAAAAAUUGAAUACGUUUUAGGAGGAGUAUGUCCCUAUUCCUGCUUCUGAUGGAAUAAAUUGUAUGUGUGUUUUAGUGUAGAGGUGGAUGAGAGGAGUAGAUUAAUGACUUCAUUGGCUUUUGGGAAACUGCACUUGAACCUUUUCAGAUUUUGUCACAUUCAAACCACAAACUUCAUACAAUUUUGUGAUUUUAUGGGAAACCAGAACCCACAGUUUGAUAGUAUGUUCACUGUGAUGCAGAAUUAGUUUUAACUUGAAUAUAUGAAACAUUACUUUCAACAACAGCUGUUGCAGUGAUUUGUUGAUUCCAUGUCCUUUUUCUUCUUUGCAGCUCUUCCACAGUUCUUGUGGGUCUCUUGGCUGCAAAUCUUCUCUUUGCAAAGCCAGUUUGUUUAGGUGGACAACAGCAUAUUGUGUAAUUUUCAGCUGCUGUGAAGACCAAUCCACACCUGCCAUCUCUCCAGCUCAGACAUCAACUGUGUGAAUUCUGAUCAUCACAGUUAAAGCUGAAACUAGAACUGCAGUCCACUAACAGUGAAGGGUUUCUACAAACUGUGAAAAUCUGUGUUGUUGCCAGACAAACGCCAAAUUACAGAACCCACAAACUGUCCAAUUAUAAGACUGCAACAACAGCGCUGCUGGAAUCAUGUGAAAGGCUCUGUUCAAAUAAAAACACACACACACACACACACACACACACACACACACACACACACACCAAUACAUCUGAAACAGUCAACACAAAUGGUCAUUUCUACUUGUUUCACUCUUUUCCUUUUGUUGCCAUCAUUAAACAUUUCAUAUAUAUCAAACACAGUGGAAGCUGCUGUGGUUAGGUUUAGGCACACUGCGGCAGGUUUCUUCAACUGUCUAUUUAAAACUGCAUAUUAAAAGCAAUAAAGAAAAAAUAAAUUAAUU